This 236-nucleotide long non-coding RNA is filed under the name Elaeis guineensis (African oil palm). Its description in RNAcentral is "long non-coding RNA (EGUI_LNC009551)". Lineage: Eukaryota; Viridiplantae; Streptophyta; Magnoliopsida; Arecales; Arecaceae. The record is from RNAcentral.
UCUUUACUUUAGCAGGCUUUGCAUUACUCUUCUUUCCUUCUUUAUUCUUCUUCAUCUUUUCUACUAAUUGGUUCUCGUGCUUAUGUUCUGCAAGAGAGGUCUUAAAGAUUUACUAUAUUUUUAUCCAAAAAAAAAAACUAAGAAGAAGAAAUGAAGAGGAAAAUAUCCAAUAAAAAUAACCAAAUAAAUAACCAUCAGAAUUUCAAUCUCGAGGGAGAUGAUUUCAAAAUUAGAGU